Dermacentor silvarum is the source of this 565-nucleotide long non-coding RNA. RefSeq lists it as uncharacterized. Lineage: Eukaryota; Metazoa; Arthropoda; Arachnida; Ixodida; Ixodidae. The record is from RefSeq and is a predicted model, not a curated record. The transcript has 2 exons.
GCGGAGGUUGUCAAAGUCGUCCCUUGUCACUGGUUGAAGAUUGUCAAUGCCAUCUGACUCUGUUAGUCCUGAAAUAAAGUUUGUCUUUCAUUAGUAGAAGUACAUGGCGAGCACAGUUUAGGUUCUAAAUACAGCAAGCUCAAGCAUGUCAGUGCACACAAAAUGUCAAGAAAUGGUGUCGUGGCAUGCGUCAAGAGUUCCAAGGCAUGCUACUGUGAUCUUUACUUUCCUUGUGAGCUUACAUAUUGGGUUUCUAUCUUCAAGGCCAAGCUAAGCUGUCUAGCAAUUUUUGUUUGGUGCUUCUGUUUGUUACUGUGUUUUGUUAUAAGAAAAAAUUGAGAGGAGGCACUAGAAAGACAAAGAUUUUGUGCAGUACUGCGUGUAGUUAGGGCUGUUUGUGGAGAACACACCAUUGCAAAUGGCAUUAUCUAAUGAGUGGUGCAUCGAAGUUGUUCCUGAUGCUAGCAUCAAUAUUGCCAUUUUUUAUUGUCUAAAAAUAAUGUAGGAUAGGCUGCGAGCUUCCCAACUAUCUACCUGAAGUGUCCCAUGGCCAAGGAAGGGAAAA